AGAAAAUCUCAUUGUUGAUUGGAUUCAGACAUAGAGGUAGACGCUCUCUUAGAAGACAACCUCUGACUCUUGGCAAUCUGUUGCUGGUGUGUUUCUGGUGUGUUUCUUCAGCCUCCUUCAUUCUCUUGGCUGAAAGUUUAGCAUAUUCUGCAGGCUCUUCCUUAUUUUUCUUAGUACACUGUUUCUUCAGAGCAAUGUACCAACAUUUGUGUUGGAGCGACAUGUGGAGUAACAAGAUGCGGAAUCUUGGGCACUUUGCUUCUAGGUUUCUGACCUUUUUUUAAGGGCUUUCUCAUGACAUACUGGUGGACAUCAUCUUCUUUAGAGAGACUGAAAAGUUUGCAGAUUCUGCAGGCUCUUUUGGGCCCCAGGAGGCAAGGCACAGUAGUAUCAGUGAGUGCAGGAAUAUCCUUCUGCCGUUAUUUUAAAGUGACAAAGUUGGAAACAGUGAGAUUGGUAUCCACAAUAUGACCCCGAAGAGAUUUGAGCUUUCUUUGUUCAGUCCUCCUUGGUCUGUUGUUGGAGUGCUCCUUACUCAGCAGCAGGUGGACACCUGCUUCAUUGGGAAGGGAAGCCUUGUUUGUCAUUACCACACUGACUUUGACCGUGUGAACUUUCCAUUCUUCACAGAGAACAUCAGCAGCAACUUCUGUGAUCAUAUGCGUUUCAUAAAAGGGAGAGACAGCCUUUUUUGACACCAUGUGCUUGGCUUCAGUAACUCAGAGGAUUGGAGAAGCAUUCCUAUGGGCUGUCUCAAGUACGACUCCCCUGUGUUUGCAGUCUCACAACUCCGAC
RNAcentral lists this long non-coding RNA (795 nucleotides) under Mustela putorius furo (domestic ferret). RNAcentral's name for it is "lncRNA (ENSMPUG00000024116.1)". Lineage: Eukaryota; Metazoa; Chordata; Mammalia; Carnivora; Mustelidae. The record is from RNAcentral.